AGUCGUAACAAGGUUUCCGUAGGUGAACCUGCGGAAGGAUCAUUAAAGAGUAAGGGUGCUCAGCGCCCGACCUCCAACCCUUUGUUGUUAAAACUACCUUGUUGCUUUGGCGGGACCGCUCGGUCUCGAGCCGCUGGGGAUUCGUCCCAGGCGAGCGCCCGCCAGAGUUAAACCAAACUCUUGUUAUUUAACCGGUCGUCUGAGUUAAAAUUUUGAAUAAAUCAAAACUUUCAACAACGGAUCUCUUGGUUCUCGCAUCGAUGAAGAACGCAGCGAAAUGCGAUAAGUAAUGUGAAUUGCAGAAUUCAGUGAAUCAUCGAAUCUUUGAACGCACAUUGCGCCCCUUGGUAUUCCGAGGGGCAUGCCUGUUCGAGCGUCAUUACACCACUCAAGCUAUGCUUGGUAUUGGGUGCCGUCCUUAGUUGGGCGCGCCUUAAAGACCUCGGCGAGGCCUCACCGGCUUUAGGCGUAGUAGAAUUUAUUCGAACGUCUGUCAAAGGAGAGGACUUCUGCCGACUGAAACCUUUAUUUUUCUAGGUUGACCUCGGAUCAGGUAGGGAUACCCGCUGAACUUAAGCAUAUCAAUAA
This 588-nucleotide unclassified non-coding RNA is filed under the name Aureobasidium melanogenum. Its description in RNAcentral is "sequence contains 18S rRNA gene, ITS1, 5.8S rRNA gene, ITS2, 28S rRNA gene". The stretch from base 226 to 379 matches the Rfam family "5.8S ribosomal RNA". Lineage: Eukaryota; Fungi; Ascomycota; Dothideomycetes; Dothideales; Saccotheciaceae. The record is from RNAcentral.